Molecule: ribosomal RNA, 447 nt
Filed under: uncultured bacterium
Lineage: Bacteria
Description: bacterial SSU rRNA
Rfam family: Bacterial small subunit ribosomal RNA
Source: RNAcentral
CCGCCAGACUCCUACGGGAGGCAGCAGUGGGGAAUAUUGCACAAUGGGGGAAACCCUGAUGCAGCGACGCCGCGUGGGUGACGAAGUAUUUCGGUAUGUAAAGCCCUAUCAGCAGGGAAGAAGAUGACAGUACCUGGCUAAGAAGCCCCGGCUAACUACGUGCCAGCAGCCGCGGUAAUACGUGGGGGGCAAGCGUUAUCCGGAUUUACUGGGUGUAAAGGGAGCGUAGACGGCAGUGCAAGUCUGAAGUGAAAGCCCCGGGCUUAACCCGGGAAUUGCUUUGGAAACUGUACGGCUGGAGUGCUGGAGAGGUAAGCGGAAUUCCUAGUGUAGCGGUGAAAUGCGUAGAUAUUAGGAGGAACACCAGUGGCGAAGGCGGCUUACUGGACAGUAACUGACGUUGAGGCUCGAAAGCGUGGGGAGCAAACAGGAUUAGAUACCCUUGUA